This 253-nucleotide ribosomal RNA is filed under the name Acidobacterium sp. Its description in RNAcentral is "partial 16S ribosomal RNA". It matches the Rfam family "Bacterial small subunit ribosomal RNA", at positions 524 to 776 of the family's 1533-position model. The record is from RNAcentral. Lineage: Bacteria; Pseudomonadati; Acidobacteriota; Terriglobia; Terriglobales; Acidobacteriaceae. RNAcentral also lists the same sequence under 1 other name.
UACAGGGGGGGCAAGCGUUGUUCGGAAUUACUGGGCGUAAAGGGCUCGUAGGCGGCCAACUAAGUCACACGUGAAAUCCCCAGGCUCAACCUGGGAACUGCGUGUGAUACUGGAUGGCUUGAAUUCGGGAGAGGGAUGCAGAAUUCCAGGUGUAGCGGUGAAAUGCGUAGAUAUCUGGAGGAAUACCGGUGGCGAAGGCGGCAUCCUGGACCGACAUUGACGCUGAGGAGCGAAAGCUAGGGGAGCAAACGGG